UGUUUUAGUUAAUGUCUAAAGUGUUUAGUUCACGUCUAAAUGUUUUAGUUCACGUCUAAAGUGUUUAGUUAAUGUCUAAAGUGUUUAGUUCACGUCUAAAGUGUUUAGUUAAUGUCUAAAGUUGUUAGUUCACGUCUAAAGUGCUUAGUUAAUGUCUAAAGUGUUUAGUUCACAUAUAAAGUGUUGGAAUGGAAGCCUGGUGCUCUGUUCUCCUCGGGAACUCAGCAAUCACACUCAGGUCUGAGAGUGAAGUCUUCCAAGUGAGAAAGUGAUUCGAAUCGUCUCUUCUACAGGAAAUUAAUCAAUCGUGCCCUGUAUUUUGGGUUGCAGCAAUUUUUUUCCUGUUGCAGUAAUGACACGUAUUCUGGAGAUUUGGAGCAACGAUACAAAAAAAAAGACAAUAACUCUGGAUGUGAUGCAUAAAAUGUGUUAAACUAGUUAUUUAUAUAAUUGUGUUAGAGUUUCCUCAUUGUUCGCGCUUUGGUGAUUUUUGUGAUUUCUGCACAAUAAUUAAAGAAUUAUUUUUCCUUUUCCGGUUGCCAAAUUCUGCCCUAUGAAUUAUUAUUAUUAUUUUUUUUUUACACUUAUUACACUUAUUUUAAUGACAAUUUUGCACAAUCAAGAUAGAAAUAUCAACCCACACCUUAACAGCCAUCUUGAGAUACAUCCGAUCUAAAGACUUUAAUCACAGCGCAUUCAAGUGUAUACAAGUGUUAAUAGCUAAACAGUAACGAAAAGCCCGUUGACGUCCCCACAAAGUGACAAAUACAGGUGGAAAUUCAGGAUCCAGGAUUGUGUUUACUUCAUACUUUAUGUCUGUACUUUAUAGUAAAUGAAGGUAAUUCUUAAUAAUUAGUGUUGUUUUUGUAAUUAUAUUGAAAUCUGAUCCGAUGAAAUAUGCUUUGGAUCUUCUAAGAAUUAAAAAUCCAGUCGUAUAAACACGGUCACACCACUGACAGUCAAAUGUGUUGAGCCAGUAAUGAAUUUCCACAAAUUCUACAUUUUAUGUGAAGAGGAAGCACGUAAUAAACAGGAAACGCUCCACACAUAUCAGUUGUAAUAUUACUAAUUCAUAACUGUAUUAUUUUCACAAGACUGAAGAGGAAAGCUUCGCGGAUAUUUAACAUUGAUGCAGAACUUUUGUUGUGUCUGAUCUUUCAUUUCCGCCUAGAAAUUAGAAAAUGAAGAGUAUACCCGUGACGCUGAAGGAGAGAAAAAAAAGAAUCCUAUCAUAAUAAAUCUCUGACGGACAGGAAAUGAGCAGCUGGAGCGUCUCAAAAGGGCUGAAUUGAAAGACCCUGAAACACUAAAUCCCCAAAACGUUUCCCCACGAGGAUAAAAAUGGCCACUUGGGAUUAUUUGUAAAGAUUUUUCUGCUCUUCUGGAAGCUCCUUGCGCUCUCCUGUAAAAGCCCUGGAUCCUGGGAGUACUCAGAGUAAUCGGUUCCUUUUUUGUGCCUGCUUGGCCGUGUGUACAUCAGGCUGAGCCUGCUGGAGAUGGAAUAUUUCAUGCUCUGACACUCGGAUCUGCUGAACUAUGGAUUAUGGGAGAUCUGUGAUUGCCCUCCGUUGGUUGAUGUACCUGUGAAUCUAUUAUGGGUUCGUUACAAAUGAUGGGAGAAAGAAAAGAGCUCUGUGUAUUGUAAACUGUUAAACUGCCCAAUGUUCUUCCGAAAAAUCCUUCAGGUCCUACAUUUCACACUGAGGACAACUGAGGGACGCGUACACGACUAUUACAAAAGGUGCAAACAUUCACCGAUGCUCA
Molecule: long non-coding RNA, 1764 nt
Organism: Ictalurus punctatus (channel catfish)
Lineage: Eukaryota; Metazoa; Chordata; Actinopteri; Siluriformes; Ictaluridae
Source: Ensembl